RNAcentral lists this transfer RNA (88 nucleotides) under Salinarimonas ramus. RNAcentral's name for it is "tRNA-Arg". The record is from RNAcentral. Lineage: Bacteria; Pseudomonadati; Pseudomonadota; Alphaproteobacteria; Hyphomicrobiales; Salinarimonadaceae.
CCGAACGUGGGCCACGUCCGCGAGGCCGGCACCGGCUUCGAGCUGGUGCGGAUCCCCUGGCCGGGUUGACGGCUCCCGGAACUCGGCC